Molecule: unclassified non-coding RNA, 204 nt
Filed under: uncultured Meira
Lineage: Eukaryota; Fungi; Basidiomycota; Exobasidiomycetes; Exobasidiales; Brachybasidiaceae
Description: sequence contains ITS2
Source: RNAcentral
AUAUCUCCAUUAAAAGAUUUUUUCUUUUAACGGGUCCUUGGGCUUGGUGAUGAGAUUAGCCUCUUUGUAUCACCUUGCCUUAAAAGUAUGAGUGGAUGAGUGUCAGCCAUAGAUUUUUGUUAAGGCAAACCCAUAAAAAUCUUGUGCUUUUGUCAUCUGCUACCAAACAAACACACACAUAUGCAUAAUUCUUUAUGUAUUCCU